GAAGCUGAGGCACAAAGAGGUUAUAGAACUUGCCCAAAUUCAGACAGCUUAUAAAUGAGAGCCAGGAUUUGAAACCAGGAAGUUUGGCUUCAGAGCAGUGGCUUCACCAGUAUGUGAUUCUGCUUCACUUCGGCUCAAGGAACAGGGAGUCGCUGCACAGUAACCUCAGCAGGGGAAACAGCACCCAGUUUGCAAGGCUGUGAUCAAGAGGGAAUGCUGCAAAGAGCACCCAUCACAACAGGAAAUGAAUAAAUGGGAGCCAUUACUGUUAUCACCCUCUUGUUGGCUUAUAGGAGACAGCAGCUGUUACCAGACCCUCCUGUCUCCUGGAAGAUUACCAGAGUGGGCUCUCAAUGGGUUGACGAGCAAGGGGAGCUAUUUCCCAGAGCUGCAAACCUCCCAGGGAGUGCUCAGGCUCCAUCUCCACCAGUCCCCAGCUGCCCGCCAGCCAUAACUCUGGGCUGUGGCACCCGGGGGAACCGUGAAAGCCAAAGCUUUUACUCUCCACCUCCUGCACUUCAGGCUGUGAGAGACUGCCCUGCGCCUGUCCUCAGCCGUCUUUCCUGAGUGACUCUGUGCCCAAGCCUGUGGCCUUACGCAGGGCUCUAGGGUUUUAAUGGGACUCGGGCCUGAUCCCUGAUCUUGAGGACCAAGCAAGCAGGGAUGCAGAUGCUGACCAAUCCAGGGGAUCACUGACUGCACUGUCAGGAUGUCACUACGUAGAGGGAAUCUGUCUUUAUUUAUUGGCUCUUUCCUGUGCAGAAUCCAAGGGAGUCUCCCUCUGGCCCAGAUCCCUGGGAAGGAGGCCACAUAUAGAGGAUGACGUGAACCGGGACGGCAGGAAUGUGGGGUCCCCGGGGGCUCAGGACGGGGUCACAGUGGAAACCAGGAGGGCUGGCCUGCCAUCAGCCACGCAGCACGUGGGCUGUUAACGUGGCCAUGCAUUUAUGGAGGGCAGAUGCGGCGCUGCGUCUGUGUCUUUCACGUGGCCAAAUGCAACGAAGCAGAGCAUUCAUUUUCCUGUGAGACAGCAGACUGAGAGCUGCCUGACCACGCUCUGGCCGGGUCCUGGAUGACACUUGAGCUGUCCUCUCCCUGACCCCUCCACCUCCCUCUGCCCCAAGCCCAGGCCGCGUUCCCCUUGGUGGUUCUGCCGCCUCUACCGGGCUUCCCGUCUCCACUCCUGCCUCUCCCAUCCGUCCUUCAAAGGCUACCAGAAAGAUACACCAAAAACUCAAAUCUGAGCAAAUCCCCCCGGCCCUGCUUCCAACACUCCAGGCUUCUUCCCUCCCAACUGGAUGAAGCCCAAACUCCCUGGUCAGCCCUGCGGCCCUCCCCAAGCCUGCCUCCAAAUCCCCCCACUCCCCGCCUCUGCUCACACCCUGAACAGCCUUGAUCCCCCCAGCACAAUGCCCACUCUCGUGCCUCACCUGUCCCCUCUACCUGGCGCCCUUCUCCAGGGGUCCGUGGCUCAAUGUCAGUGCCUCUGGAAACCCGUCCACCCCACCGAGAGCCCCCGACGUGUCCCUGCUGAAGCAUGCAUUACACGGG
Molecule: long non-coding RNA, 1551 nt
Organism: Lagenorhynchus albirostris (white-beaked dolphin)
Lineage: Eukaryota; Metazoa; Chordata; Mammalia; Artiodactyla; Delphinidae
Exons: 4
Source: RefSeq, a predicted model, not a curated record